Molecule: ribosomal RNA, 278 nt
Filed under: uncultured bacterium
Lineage: Bacteria
Description: partial 16S ribosomal RNA
Rfam family: Bacterial small subunit ribosomal RNA
Source: RNAcentral
ACGUAGGGCGCAAGCGUUGUCCGGAAUUAUUGGGCGUAAAGAGCUCGUAGGCGGUUUGUCGCGUCUGCUGUGAAAGCCCGGGGCUCAACCCCGGGUCUGCAGUGGGUACGGGCAGACUAGAGUGCAGUAGGGGAGACUGGAAUUCCUGGUGUAGCGGUGAAAUGCGCAGAUAUCAGGAGGAACACCGAAGUCGGAAGGCAGGUCUCUGGGCUGUUACUGACGCUGAGGAGCGAAAGCAUGGGGGAGCGAAACAGGAAUUAGAUACCCCGGGUAGUCCA